GGAUCACUUCAGGAUGAAGUAAGGAACACCUCUAGGAUUUGAGGCAUAAAGGAUCACUUCAGGAUGAAGUAAAGGACACCUCCAGGAAGGAGAUGAGAGUCAGAACAGGAUGUAAUGACGGGUUAGGAUGACCAUAGGAACAGCUUCAGGAUGAAGCAUAAAGGACAAUGCUGACGGAACAUAGCAGUCAAAGGAUGGAUGCAGGGAGCGACAUAGUAGCGGGAUUGCUGCACGUAAGACCUAAGGGCGCGACGAAAGUCGCGCCCUCUCUUUUUU
Molecule: non-coding RNA, 276 nt
Filed under: Photobacterium carnosum
Lineage: Bacteria; Pseudomonadati; Pseudomonadota; Gammaproteobacteria; Vibrionales; Vibrionaceae
Source: RNAcentral